UGUUGUAAUAAUUCCAGAUGAACAGCAAAGGGGCUCAGUCAUACGUAUACAUGUAACCAUUCUCCCCUAAACUCCUCUCCCAUCCAGGCUGCCUCGUAACAUUAAGCAGAGUCCCAUGUGCCACACAGCAGGUCCUUGUUAGUUAAGUAAUUUAAAUAUAGCAAAGUG
Cervus elaphus (red deer) is the source of this 168-nucleotide long non-coding RNA. RefSeq lists it as uncharacterized. NCBI's taxonomy places the organism in Eukaryota, Metazoa, Chordata, Mammalia, Artiodactyla, Cervidae. The transcript has 3 exons. The record is from RefSeq and is a predicted model, not a curated record.